Molecule: non-coding RNA, 45 nt
Filed under: Schistosoma margrebowiei
Lineage: Eukaryota; Metazoa; Platyhelminthes; Trematoda; Strigeidida; Schistosomatidae
Source: RNAcentral
ACCUUGUUGACGAGUGCCAAGUAGUACGAAACGUACGUCCAAGGU